CAAUUGAUAUGGCUCUUCAAUGGUGUUCUGAUGCAUACUCUGAUACAAUACUGGGGUAUGCCAAUAGCAUACGCACUAUUGAUGGUGGCACACAUAUAGAUGGUUUCAAGGCUUCAUUAACCAGAACUCUUAAUAAUCUUGGGAAGAAGUCAAAGAUAAUAAAGGAUAAGGAUAUUAAUUUAAGUGGUGAACAUGUGAGAGAGGGC
RNAcentral lists this unclassified non-coding RNA (206 nucleotides) under Hevea brasiliensis (rubber tree). Lineage: Eukaryota; Viridiplantae; Streptophyta; Magnoliopsida; Malpighiales; Euphorbiaceae. The record is from RNAcentral.